Molecule: transfer RNA, 88 nt
Filed under: Sphaerodactylus townsendi
Lineage: Eukaryota; Metazoa; Chordata; Lepidosauria; Squamata; Sphaerodactylidae
Description: tRNA-Ala
Rfam family: tRNA
About the family: Transfer RNA (tRNA) molecules are approximately 80 nucleotides in length. Their secondary structure includes four short double-helical elements and three loops (D, anti-codon, and T loops).
Source: RNAcentral
GGGGCUGUGGCUCAGUGGCAGAGCAUCGGCUUGGCAUGCAGAGAAGGUCUGAUCCCCAGCGUCUCUGGUUCAAUCCCCAGCACCUCCA